Molecule: ribosomal RNA, 406 nt
Filed under: uncultured bacterium
Lineage: Bacteria
Description: partial 16S ribosomal RNA
Rfam family: Bacterial small subunit ribosomal RNA
Source: RNAcentral
AUUGAACGCUGGCGGCAGGCCUAACACAUGCAAGUCGAACGAGUGGCGGACGGGUGAGUAAUGUCUGGGAAACUGCCUGAUGGACGGGGAUAAAUACCGGAAACGGUAGCUAAUACCGCAUACCAUCAGAUGUGCCCAGAUGGGAUUAGCUAGUUGGUGGGGUAACAGCUCACCAAGGCGACGAUCCCUAGCUGGUCUGAGAGGAUGACCAGCCAGACUGGAACGGAGACACGGGCCAGACUCCUACGGGAGGCAGCAGUGGGGAAUAUUGCACAAGGGGCGCAAUCCUGAGACAGCCAUGCCGCGUGUGUGAAGAAGGCCUUCGGGUUUUAAAGUACUUGUGGCUGGGAGGCGUUACCCGCAGAAGAAGCACCGGCUAACUCCGUGCCAGCAGCCGCGGUAAUAC